GGGGGGAUGCGAAGGCGAGAGAAAGAGAGCGAGGAAAAAUGGAAGGGCGAGAAAGAAGCUAUUUCUUUCUCGCCCCUCCCAUUUUUCCUCGCUCUCUUUCUCUCGCCUUCGCAUAACCCCC
RNAcentral lists this microRNA precursor (121 nucleotides) under Paramuricea clavata. Lineage: Eukaryota; Metazoa; Cnidaria; Anthozoa; Malacalcyonacea; Plexauridae. The record is from RNAcentral.